This 236-nucleotide long non-coding RNA is filed under the name Olea europaea subsp. europaea. Lineage: Eukaryota; Viridiplantae; Streptophyta; Magnoliopsida; Lamiales; Oleaceae. The record is from RNAcentral.
GGAACAUAGAAACGUUGCGCAUCACUGGGUAACAUAAAAUUUGGCUUGUAAAUACGAUAACACCAGCCAAUAUAGCUCUUUCAUUUGGGUGGUAAGAAUGGCAAGAUGCUCGGAAAAUGUAGAAAGUUCCUACGUGCCUCGAGGAUAACACCAGCAACUUUCAAGAAAAGAAAUACUGCUUUGCAAAUUCGAGUGAGUCCAUGAAUAUCAACGGAGAGACAGAAAGGAGAAUGGUU